RNAcentral lists this ribosomal RNA (301 nucleotides) under uncultured bacterium. RNAcentral describes it as "partial 16S ribosomal RNA". It matches the Rfam family "Bacterial small subunit ribosomal RNA", at positions 509 to 808 of the family's 1533-position model. The record is from RNAcentral.
CAGUAGCCGCGGGAAUACGUAGGUGGCAAGCGUUGUCCGGAAUUAUUGGGCGUAAAGCGCGCGCAGGCGGUUUCUUAAGUCUGAUGUGAAAGCCCCCGGCUUAACCGGGGAGGGUCAUUGGAAACUGGGAGACUUAGAGUGCAGAAGAGGAGAGUGGAAUUCCAUGUGUAGCGGUGAAAUGCGUAGAUAUAUGGAGGAACACCAGUGGCGAAGGCGACUCUCUGGUCUGUAACUGACGCUGAGGAGCGAAAGCGUGGGGAGCGAACAGGAUUAGAUACCCCCGUAGUCCCUGUCUCUUAUA